RNAcentral lists this unclassified non-coding RNA (156 nucleotides) under uncultured Pestalotiopsis. Its description in RNAcentral is "sequence contains ITS2". Lineage: Eukaryota; Fungi; Ascomycota; Sordariomycetes; Amphisphaeriales; Amphisphaeriaceae. The record is from RNAcentral.
CAACCCUUAAGCCUAGCUUAGUGUUGGGAGUCUACAGCUUUGGCUGUAGUUCCCCAAAUGAAACGGCGGAUCCGCAGUAUCCUCUGAGCGUAGUAAAUCUUUAUCUCGCUUUUGUCAGGUGCUGUGGCUCUUGCCGCUAAACCCCCAAUUUUUAAU